This is a non-coding RNA of Myodes glareolus (Bank vole), 528 nucleotides long. Lineage: Eukaryota; Metazoa; Chordata; Mammalia; Rodentia; Cricetidae. The record is from RefSeq and is a predicted model, not a curated record.
GUCUUCCUUCAAGGACAAGUCUCACACCGCACACAGGAGAGUCACCUACCAUUGUAGCUAGAGCUAAGGAGAGGGGGUUUCUUUCCUCCACAAGAUGGCUGCCCUCUGGGUCAGGGCCUGGGUGCUGUUAUUUCCUAACUGGGUGAAAUGGUAAGGGCCUUUUGCAGCCCUACAUAACUUCCGCUGUUUGAAGGGUGUGUGGGCAAGGAUGCUGACUUCAGGAAUGGAGAAGCAGUUUCCACUGGAGAGCAAUGUGGUGCCUUCAGGACUGUGCCAUGUGAACAUCUCGUUAGCACGUUCUCCAUUCCUCCCAGCAAGGCACUCUCUGUGAUGGGAAGAGAUGAGGAGGGAAAGCUCUGUGAGACCAUGGUGGGAGCAAGGCUUGGAGAAGCCAGGAGCGCCGCUCUGUCGGGAUCUUCGCUGCAUCAUCUUCAUUAGUAUCCGUCCUCCCUGGUCAAGCAUGGCCCCACUCCGUGACAGAAGGCUCAUCUCCCCCCAACAUUAAAAGAGCUACUUUAGUGACUCUCA